This 796-nucleotide ribosomal RNA is filed under the name Priestia flexa. RNAcentral describes it as "bacterial SSU rRNA". It matches the Rfam family "Bacterial small subunit ribosomal RNA", at positions 70 to 847 of the family's 1533-position model. The record is from RNAcentral. Lineage: Bacteria; Bacillati; Bacillota; Bacilli; Caryophanales; Bacillaceae.
GAUUAGAAGCUUGCUUCUAUGACGUUAGCGGCGGACGGGUGAGUAACACGUGGGCAACCUGCCUGUAAGACUGGGAUAACUUCGGGAAACCGAAGCUAAUACCGGAUAGGAUCUUCUCCUUCAUGGGAGAUGAUUGAAAGAUGGUUUCGGCUAUCACUUACAGAUGGGCCCGCGGUGCAUUAGCUAGUUUGGUGAGGUAACGGCUCACCAAGGCAACGAUGCAUAGCCGACCUGAGAGGGUGAUCGGCCACACUGGGACUGAGACACGGCCCAGACUCCUACGGGAGGCAGCAGGUAGGGAAUCUUCCGCAAUGGACGAAAGUCUGACGGAGCAACGCCGCGUGAGUGAUGAAGGCUUUCGGGUCGUAAAACUCUGUUGUUAGGGAAGAACAAGUACGAGGAGUAACUGCUCGUACCUUGACGGUACCUAACCAGAAAGCCACGGCUAACUACGUGCCAGCAGCCGCGGUAAUACGUAGGUGGCAAGCGUUAUCCGGAAUUAUUGGGCGUAAAGCGCGCGCAGGCGGUUUCUUAAGUCUGAUGUGAAAGCCCACGGCUCACCGUGGAGGGUCAUUGGAAACUGGGGAACUUGAGUGCAGAAGAGAAGAGGCGGAAUUCCACGUGUAGCGGUGAAAUGCGUAGAGAUGUGGAGGAACACCAGUGGCGAAAGCGGCUUUUUGGUCUGUAACUGACGCUGAGGCGCGAAAGCGUGGGGGAGCAACAGGAUUAGAUACCCUGGUAGUCCACGCCGUAACGAUGAGUGCUAAGUGUUAGAGGGUUUCCGCCCUUUAGUGCU